Molecule: RNA transcript, 2422 nt
Organism: Populus euphratica (Euphrates poplar)
Lineage: Eukaryota; Viridiplantae; Streptophyta; Magnoliopsida; Malpighiales; Salicaceae
Gene name: ATP-dependent Clp protease ATP-binding subunit clpX-like, mitochondrial
Exons: 15
Source: RefSeq, a predicted model, not a curated record
UGGUCUCACCAGAUAUUUCCUUAAAAUUCUCUAUUUCUCUUUCAAUUCCUUUAUAUUACUACAAAAAUUCUCCACCUAUAAUUCUCAAUAAAAGUGAAAAUAAAAAUCUCCAACGAGACAAGAUACCCAAAAGAUCUUAGACAUACCCAUUUUAAUUCACACCAAAUUAUCCAAAAACCUCUUUCAAUUUCCAAUCCUUACCACUCUACAAACCCUAAUUUUCCUCUCCCUGUCUCCCUUAAUUUCUCUCUUCAACAAAAUCCUCCAAAAAUGCUUGAUAACUUGAAAAUCUAAAACAUACACACUUCAAUUCAUACCCAAUUAUCCAACAUCCAUCUGCAAAUUUUCAAUCUUGAUUCAUGAACCCUAAACCUUUUCCACUCUCUUUAGCUUAAAUUUCCCUCGCUUUCCUGGGGAAAUUCGACCACCAUGGCCGUUGCUGCAGUUAGAGGCAAACCCACCAAAGAAACUGCUUCUCAAUUCAGAUACUUUAUGUUCAAUUACAUGCAUGUGGGAAGUCGCUUGUCUAGUGCUCACUGUGCUAGCAAAACUACAAAAUGGGAUGACCAUUUUGCAAAUACUCCUCAUCACUUCUCUUCUUUCAAGCCUGUUUCGCUUUGCGGGGAGUUUGUUGAAAAGGGUACUCAAUUGUUGGAAAAUAUGAGAAGUAGCGGUAAUUCAAGUAAAGACUUUGAUAGGAAUUGGAAUCAGAAAGUGAGAUAUAAUGGUGGUGAUGGGUCUGGUUAUGGCGACCCACCAGAGGUGCGGGAACCACCUGGUGAUGGUGUUGCAAAAUUAAGGGUGACUGAUGGAGGAGUGAAUUUUAAGGUAGGGAGUAGAGGUGGGUCUGGUUCAAAGGAUGGGUCUUGGGGUGGAUCAAAUUUGGGGAGUAGCUUUCCAACGCCUAAGGACAUUUGUAAGGCACUUGAUAAGUUUGUCAUUGGACAACAGAGAGCUAAGAAGGUGCUCUCUGUUGCUGUUUACAAUCACUACAAGAGGAUCUAUGUACAGUCUGUUAAAAAAUGUACAACUUGGGAAGCUAGGUGCAACAUAGAUUCAGGCAAUGAAAAAGCAGAAACCAUGGAUGAGGAGGAAGUUGAACUUGAGAAAAGUAACAUUCUUCUAAUGGGUCCAACAGGUUCAGGGAAGACAUUACUUGCCAAAACCUUGGCACGGUUUGUGAAUGUUCCUUUUGUUAUUGCAGAUGCAACUACUUUGACUCAGGCAGGAUAUGUUGGGGAAGAUGUGGAGUCCAUUUUAUACAAACUACUGACAGCUGCUGACCAUAACGUGGCAGCUGCUCAGCAAGGCAUCAUUUACAUUGAUGAAGUUGACAAGAUCACAAAAAAGGCUGAGAGUGUUAACAUCAGUAGAGAUGUGUCGGGGGAGGGUGUACAGCAAGCAUUAUUGAAAAUGCUUGAAGGAACAGUAGUCAAUGUUCCAGAUAAGGAAGCUCGAAAGCAUCCUAGGGGAGACAACAUUCAGAUCGACACAAAGGAUAUUCUUUUCAUAUGUGGGGGUGCCUUCAUUGAUUUGGAGAAGACCAUAUCUGAAAGGCGCCAAGAUUCAUCGAUUGGGUUCGGUGCACCAGUACGUGCAAACAUGAGGACAGGUGGUGUUACGAGCGCUGCCUUGACAUCAUCUUUAUUGGAGACUGCUGAAAGCAGUGAUCUUGUUUCAUAUGGUUUGAUACCUGAAUUUGUUGGAAGAUUUCCUAUCCUCGUCAGUUUAUCAGCUCUCACUGAGGAUCAACUUGUCCAGGUUCUCACAGAACCAAAGAAUGCCCUCGGGAAGCAAUACAGGAAGUUGUUCCAAAUGAAUGGUUUUGAAAGCCAUCCAAUUCUCCCUCCCCCCUCAGGUCAAGCUACAUGUUACAGAUCAUGCUUUGAGAUCAAUUGCAAGAAAAGCAAUAACCAAAAAUACUGGGGCUCGGGCCUUGCGGUCCAUAUUAGAGAACAUCUUGAUGGAUUCCAUGUAUGAGAUUCCUGAUGUAAGAAGGGGGGCUGAUAUUAUAGAUACUGUUGUAGUUGAUGAAGAGGCUAUUGGACCUGAGGAAUGUGGAGCCAGAGCCAAAAUCCUGUAUGGCAGGGGCGCCUUGGAUCGCUAUCUUUCAAAAAACAAAUUAAAGUCAUCUGAGGCAACUGUGGAGGGUUCUGAUGGAGAACCAGAGGUGGAAUCAGAGCUCCCUAAGAUAGUUGCCAGCAUGUAAUUUACUGAUUAAUGUUGUUUGUAGCCUCCUUACAUCACAUACCUGUACAUAAUAAGCUCACAUUAAUUUAUUAAACCAAAGUUCUGUAUACACGUUACAAUUGCUCAAAAACUACAGUUUCCCAACCACAGAGUUCGGAUUUUUUUAUAUCACUGCUGUAUUCUACAUCAGUCAGCCAAAGACAAUCACGUUCUGCGAUCCCAUUUUUCAGCA